GAUUAUAUCUUAGCGCGAGCUCUUGCGUAUGCAAGAGGACGAGGAAGAGGUUGUCGAAGGGUGGAGCAUACGCUCCCGGUUCAGCGGAUGCCUCUCGGCCGGGUCCGGUCGAAAAAGCUGUAAAAUCCGAACGGUGACGGGCGGGACAAAGCAGUGUAUAAGGACCGAU
This 169-nucleotide non-coding RNA is filed under the name Schwartzia succinivorans. Its description in RNAcentral is "GlcN6P sequence". It matches the Rfam family "glmS glucosamine-6-phosphate activated ribozyme aptamer". Rfam says of the family: This entry contains a glucosamine-6-phosphate activated ribozyme that is found in the mRNA for GlmS. The record is from RNAcentral. Lineage: Bacteria; Bacillati; Bacillota; Negativicutes; Selenomonadales; Selenomonadaceae.